RNAcentral lists this ribosomal RNA (378 nucleotides) under uncultured eukaryote. RNAcentral's name for it is "partial 18S ribosomal RNA". It matches the Rfam family "Eukaryotic small subunit ribosomal RNA", at positions 592 to 976 of the family's 1831-position model. The record is from RNAcentral.
CAAUAGCGUAUAUUUAAGUUGUUGCAGUUAACAAGCUCGUAGUUGGAUUUCGGGUGGGACGCAGCGGUCUCGCAUUGCGUUUGUACUGCUGCAGCCCUCCUUCUUGCCGGGGGCGGCCUCUCGGACUUCACUGUCUGGGGGUCAGAAUCGGCGAUGUUACUUUGAGUAAAUUAGAGUGUUCAAAGCAAGCUUACGCUCUGAAUAUAAUAGCAUGGGAUAACACGACAGGACUCUGGCCUAUCGUGUUGGUCUAUAGGACCAGAGUAAUGAUUAAGAGGGACAGUCGGGGGCAUUCGUAUUCCGUUGUCAGAGGUGAAAUUCUUGGAUUUACGGAAGACGAACAUCUGCGAAAGCAUUUGCCAAGGAUGUUUUCAUUGA